RNAcentral lists this ribosomal RNA (287 nucleotides) under uncultured Prevotella sp. Its description in RNAcentral is "partial 16S ribosomal RNA". It matches the Rfam family "Bacterial small subunit ribosomal RNA", at positions 62 to 339 of the family's 1533-position model. Lineage: Bacteria; Pseudomonadati; Bacteroidota; Bacteroidia; Bacteroidales; Prevotellaceae. The record is from RNAcentral.
UCGAGGGGAAACGAUAUUGGAAGCUUGCUUCCGAUAGGCGUCGACCGGCGCACGGGUGAGUAACGCGUAUCCAACCUGCCCACCACUUGGGGAUAACCUUGCGAAAGUAAGACUAAUACCCAAUGAUAUCUCUAGAAGACAUCUGAAAGAGAUUAAAGAUUUAUCGGUGAUGGAUGGGGAUGCGUCUGAUUAGCUUGUUGGCGGGGUAACGGCCCACCAAGGCAACGAUCAGUAGGGGUUCUGAGAGGUUAACCCCCACAUUGGUACUGAGACACGGACCAAACUCC